CUAAUUGGAGUAAAUGGUUGGAGUAAACGGUUUCUAAUUGGAGUAAAUGGUUGGAGUAAACGGUUUCUAAUUGGAGUAAACGACUUCUGUUGCGAAACCGUUAAUAAUAAGGAACCAAACGGCGAAAACAGAAUCAAACGGGGAGGGAUCUACCUGAAUUUAUCAACUACAAACUCUAGUAUAUUCACUAUGGAAGCUGUUUAGCGUUUAAGAACCAAACUGAAGCAAAUAAAUAAUAAUUCAGCGCAGAGCUCGGUGCUUCUAGCAAGUGUAAACAAAAGGAAAUUGACAUCUUGCAGUCUUGCAUAUCUUGGAAAGGCAAUCGGCGGAUCAAGGUUUUUACUUGUUGAGUAAAUCGCUAGCUAUAUUUACAUACUAGUGUGUUAUUUGAGUAUUCAAUUUUUGUGUAUAUCCUCGCGCAUUUUAACUUGAGCUUCAGAUUGAGCAGAAGAAGUGGAAGUCAAAACAUGGUGGAGACACGCACAGUACGGUUAGAGUCCUUGGAUGACAGCUCCGAUGAUGAACCCCUAAUUGCAUUAGUAAAGAAGAAGCCGCAGCACAUUGAACACAAUGGGACUCAGGGUGAAAAAGACCAGAACCGACAACCUGAACCUGAGUCAAAGAAUAGCACUAGAAAAGAUUCUGGGUUGGAUGACACCUCAGAUGAUGAGCCCUUGACGAAGUUGCUGAAUAAACUUUCCAGAGCUAAAAAAGCCACCGUACAAGCAAAGAGGCCAGGGACUACUGAUAUCAAAAGAGGAACAGGUAAUGGCAUCAAGAAGACAAACAACAAAUUCACAGGUUCAACCCAGAAUGAGGACUCCUAUGAUAGCUCAGACGAUGAGCCCUUGAUAAAGAUGAUUAGAAAGAUCCCUAAACAGACAUCAUUGCCAUUCAAAAAGAGACCUUUCAACACAGCCAGAGAGAUGAACGAUGUGAAGAAGCGCAGAAAUAGCUCACAGAACACUAAUAAAAUAAGCACAGAUUCAUCAUCAGGUGACAGCUCAGAUGACGUGCCCCUGAUUAACAUGGUCGACAAACUCAAGACACAAAUGCGAACGAAGACACCCACCACUACAGCCAGAAAAACACCUGGCAUUAAAAAGCCCAGAAAAGUUUUUAAAAAACACAACAGGAGUAUAGAGACCUCAGAUGACAGCUCUGAUGAUGAGCCAUUAAUAAAUCUGACCAAGAAGUUUCCAUCUAAAGGGACUGAAAGGACAAUACUGAAGAGGUGUGUCACUAAGGAAUCAAACAGCAACAACUGUAAUAAAAUUGAAGGGAAAAUGAGCAGAGAGGAAGAGGUGAGUUCUGAUUCUGAUGAUAAGCCCUUGAUAAAUCUCGUCAAGAAGCCUCUUAAAGUUGUAAAGAAGACCAUGACACCAUUAAAGAAGAGGAGCGUAUCAGGAAAGACUGUGGUAGCCAGAAAGAAGACGAGACCAGACAUUAGGAACAAAGCAGUCAUCAGACGGAGCACCAAAGUUGUUCAAAGAACACGUGAAGGGUCUUUGGAUGACAGCUCAGACGAUGAGCCCUUGAGUAAAAAGAUGGUGAGAAAUCCACAAAUGAAGAGCCUAAUGGUGAUUCUGGAGAGAUGUGACACAAAAGAAGUCUUGGAAGAUAACUAUAGAGCCAACGUGGGAAACACUGGUAAAAGAAGUGCAGGGGAUAAGGAGAACUCCGAUGAUGAACUCUUGAUAAAGAUGGUCACGAAUCCCCCUCAUUCUUCACCAGAAACUAUGGCAGAGAAGGAAAAUAAGUCACAAACUGCCCUUACGAUGAACCUUUGAUAAAGAUGGUUGGAAACCCAAAGUCAUGUUCAAGGGAUAUUAUAGAUACUGGAAUAGUGACUUUGUUUUGGGAAAACGUUGAGUAACAAAUUUGCCGGGAAGAUGGCACAAUUGUUACUGACAC
This is a long non-coding RNA of Oncorhynchus tshawytscha (Chinook salmon), 1914 nucleotides long. The record is from Ensembl. NCBI's taxonomy places the organism in Eukaryota, Metazoa, Chordata, Actinopteri, Salmoniformes, Salmonidae.